AGUGAACGCUGGCGGUAGGCCUAACACAUGCAAGUCGAACGGCAGCACAGUAAGAGCUUGCUCUUACGGGUGGCGAGUGGCGGACGGGUGAGGAAUACAUCGGAAUCUACUUUUUCGUGGGGGAUAACGUAGGGAAACUUACGCUAAUACCGCAUACGACCUACGGGUGAAAGCAGGGGAUCUUCGGACCUUGCGCGAUUGAAUGAGCCGAUGUCGGAUUAGCUAGUUGGCGGGGUAAAGGCCCACCAAGGCGACGAUCCGUAGCUGGUCUGAGAGGAAGGUGAGCCAGCCUGGAACUGAGCGACGGUCCAGACUCCUACGGGAGGCAGCAGUGGGGAAUAUUGGACAAUGGGCGCAAGCCUGAUCCAGCCAUACCGCGUGGGUGAAGAAGGCCUUCGGGUUGUAAAGCCCUUUUGUUGGGAAAGAAAAGCAGCAGGUUAAUACCCCGCUGUUCUGACGGUACCCAAAGAAUAAGCACCGGCUAACUUCGUG
Molecule: ribosomal RNA, 492 nt
Filed under: uncultured bacterium
Lineage: Bacteria
Description: partial 16S ribosomal RNA
Rfam family: Bacterial small subunit ribosomal RNA
Source: RNAcentral